GGCGGUGUGGCGCAAUGGUAGCGUGUGGUCCUCCUAUUCUUUCCUCGUAAGAGUUUGAGUUCCAAAGACUAAGGUUACAGGUUCGAGUCCUGUCAUCGUCG
Coniochaeta sp. 2T2.1 is the source of this 101-nucleotide non-coding RNA. The record is from the annotation of a GenBank genome assembly. Lineage: Eukaryota; Fungi; Ascomycota; Sordariomycetes; Coniochaetales; Coniochaetaceae.